UGCCAGCAGCCGCGGUAACACGGGGGGCGCAAGCGUUAUUCGGAAUUAUCGGGCGUAAAGGGCGCGCAGGCGGUCUUGUCCGUCAGGGGUGAAAUCCUACAGCUUAACUGUAGAACUGCCUUUGAUACUGCAAAUCUUGAGUUCGGAAGGGAGAGGCGGAAUUCCAGGUGUAGUGGUGAAAUACGUAGAUAUCUGGAAGAACACCAGAGGCGAAGGCGGUCUCUUGGUCCGAAACUGACGCUGAGGCGCGAAAGCGUGGGGAGCAAACAGGAUUAGAUA
This 279-nucleotide ribosomal RNA is filed under the name uncultured bacterium. RNAcentral's name for it is "partial 16S ribosomal RNA". It matches the Rfam family "Bacterial small subunit ribosomal RNA", at positions 506 to 784 of the family's 1533-position model. The record is from RNAcentral.